GCCACUCUACCUGCAUGCCUGUAAUACGUGUGACUUCAUCCAUGAACCUCCCCCCCCCAGCACCCUCACAGAAGCCCACCUUUCCUUCCCCAACCUACUGUGCAGCUGAACAGCAGCUCAGCAACAUUCUUGUUGGUAGUGCUGUGCUUUUUUUCCAACCAGCAUGACAGUCCCAUGGCUGGUGAGUAACUUCUGGUGCUCCUGUUUCUCUCUCUUACUUCCCUCAUUGACCCUGGUGUGUCUCCUAUCUUUUUACUGGGGUCCUUGACUGGGGAUUUUGGCUCUUAUUUCUUCCUUCAUUUUGAGGUGGCUCCUAUUUUUGCUCUCUUUAUGUUCCCUUUGCUCUUUCUACGCACCGUGCUCUGCUGUCCCUUAUUCUCACAGCAUUGCUCUCUUUCAUGUGCCUAAUGGCGGCUCUUCCCUCUUUAAAAAUGUCUCUUAAUAAUACACUGCCCUUACAUCAAAGGCUAAAAUAAAGAUGAGCUGGCUUGACUGGGAGAAUCUGGAAAAUAUGCAUCCUCAGCUGAUGAAAGCACCUUGUCAUGGCCACUAAUCUUUCAGAAAAGCUGGAGACGUUCAGCAGCAACAGUGAUGGCUUUCUAAAGGAUCAGGCUAUCUGGGUGUCCCCUGUGCUGCCACUUCCAGUGGUCCUUGGUGCUGUGGAUAAAUACAACUCAUCCCUGCCCAGUCACAGUUGCAGAGACCUACUGCAGAAAAUGGAACCAGAAAGAUCUGGAGACACACACUGGGAGAAAUCCUCUUUAAUACAGUGCUUCAAAUUGAAUGCCUGCAGUGCUACAUGGCAAAUUUAAAGCUAAAAUCCACACCUCAUUAACAACGAAUCCUGAUGAGUAAGUUAAGUAGAAGAAACAUCAAUAAUUUAUGGCGAUGAACUCAGCAUUUUCUCUCUCCUUUUUUUCUUUUUGUGUUGCAUCUGUCUUUGGAAGCCUCUAGUAUGUUACAAAUGAAGUGCCAGAGAUGAGCUAGAAAGAAAAAAGCUAGGAGCUUUUCCAGGGAGACAGAGAAUAAAUACAGACCUCCACAAAUGCA
RNAcentral lists this long non-coding RNA (1050 nucleotides) under Chrysolophus pictus (golden pheasant). RNAcentral describes it as "lncRNA (ENSCPIG00010001235.1)". The record is from RNAcentral. Lineage: Eukaryota; Metazoa; Chordata; Aves; Galliformes; Phasianidae.